UUGAACGCUGGCGGAAUGCUUUACCCAUGCAAGUCGAACGGCAGCACGGGGGCAACCCUGGUGGCGAGUGGCGAACGGGUGAGUAAUACAUCGGAACGUGCCCGGUCGUGGGGGAUAACGUAGCGAAAGUUACGCUAAUACCGCAUACGAUCUGAGGAUGAAAGCGGGGGACCUUCGGGCCUCGCGCGAUCGGAGCGGCCGAUGUCAGAUUAGGUAGUUGGUGGGGUAAAGGCCUACCAAGCCGACGAUCUGUAGCUGGUCUGAGAGGACGACCAGCCACACUGGGACUGAGACACGGCCCAGACUCCUACGGGAGGCAGCAGUGGGGAAUUUUGGACAAUGGGCGCAAGCCUGAUCCAGCCAUUCCGCGUGCAGGACGAAGGCCUUCGGGUUGUAAACUGCUUUUGUAUGGAACGAAAAGGCUCUGGCUAAUACCUGGGGCUCAUGACGGUACCGUAAGAAUAAGCACCGGCUAACUACGUG
RNAcentral lists this ribosomal RNA (483 nucleotides) under uncultured bacterium. Its description in RNAcentral is "partial 16S ribosomal RNA". It matches the Rfam family "Bacterial small subunit ribosomal RNA", at positions 30 to 507 of the family's 1533-position model. The record is from RNAcentral.